RNAcentral lists this long non-coding RNA (453 nucleotides) under Canis lupus familiaris (dog). Its description in RNAcentral is "lncRNA (ENSCAFG00040010372.1)". The record is from RNAcentral. Lineage: Eukaryota; Metazoa; Chordata; Mammalia; Carnivora; Canidae.
AAACCAGAAGUUACUGGAACUCUGGGCUUUCCUCCUUUGAGGCCACUUUUGCUACCAUCCCGGAAUUACUGGCGAGUGAUAUUCAUUGGCGGCCACUUACCAGGAUGCAGGAAGACGUUAGAAAUCCCAGGAUGCUCUGGUGAUCCUUCUGGACUAGAGACCCCCAGAAAACAGGCCAGGAUGCCCGAGUGGGUGAGAGACUGCACAGAGAAGAGACAAGACUGCCACCUCCUCUGCAAACCUCACAGAAAUGACUCCACUGUCAGGAUUUCCUGGAGGGCCACCUUUGCACAUAUGUUUGAGAAGGGAAAAACCUACCAGCUGAUAUUCCUCAAAGUUGCAUUGAGAGAACAUCUGUCUCAGCAAAGUGUUAUUCUAGAUGAGCACCUGACUAUUUCUGAAAGUAACACACACUUGAGGAAAAGAUCUCCCAUUCUCUGUGUAUCCUGCUAA